This 4152-nucleotide long non-coding RNA is filed under the name Triticum aestivum (bread wheat). RNAcentral's name for it is "long non-coding RNA (TAES_LNC021246)". Lineage: Eukaryota; Viridiplantae; Streptophyta; Magnoliopsida; Poales; Poaceae. The record is from RNAcentral.
AGCAGGCCCCGCCGCCGGAACCGGAGGACAGCGGCGACGGCUUCUGGAAAGGAUGGUACGGCCACUCGAUCGUCAAGAUUACCCACUGCUGUCUGUUUUGAUUUCUUCUAUAACCUGCGUGGUCCGUUUUCAUCUGCAGUUGUGCUGCGAUUUGCUGCUGCUGUCUGCUCGACACGUGCUGCUGACACAAGAGUUCGUACCGCCAACACCAGGAUAUCCUACGAUGAUCGAUCUACAUCUACUAGGAGCUGCUCAUAUACAGUUUGUUUCUAUCGUACGUAGUAUUUGUGCUGUUCGGAUCGAGAUUUGUAUGACGGUGUUCGGUGUAGAUCACUGCAUCGAAUUGUACUAUUACCUCCGUUCGGAAAUAAGUGGCGCUGUUUUAGUUUAUAAAUUGUACUCCUAUUACUAGUUAAUUUUGCAUCUUGGUUUUGGCCUCUACUGUAUCAUUGAUAUUGUUAUCUGCUGUUUUCCUGCAAAAAGAAAAUUUGUUAUCGACAGUGGUCUUCAUUUUGUUGGCUACGAAUUACACGCAACACCAGUAUAUAGGGGUGGAAAGUGGUAGCGGAUAAUCUGAAAUAUCCGAUAUUCGUAUUCGAGAAAAUGCCUAUUCGUAUCCGAAACAUCCGCAUCCGAACCAAAAUGGAAAUGGAAAUUAUCCGUAUCCGAAUUUAUUAAACAAAUAAAAAAUAAAAUAUGGUAGGAGAUUUUGACACAAAUAUGGAUAUGGAAGUGGAUAUAUCCGUAUCCGAAUAAGAUUAUGGGAGGUAAUUUUUAAAAUUCUAGGUCCAAUAUUCCAAUUAUCCAACAUAAAAGCCAAAUAAGUGGUCAAAUUUUACUCUUUAUAUGAUUAAACUUAUAAAUUAUUAUGCAUUACAAUAGUAUUUAUUCAUAAACCUAUUUAUCAUUGACUUAUUGUAUGUCACAAGUUGAUUAUUUUAGGUCACAUAGCUAUUGACUAAUUUACUUAAGCAAUAUGUUGAUAUUAUUCGUAUUCGAUCCGAAUCAAGAAAAUAUCCGAUACGUAUCCGUAUUCGAAUAAUAUUCAAGCCGCAUCCGUAUCUGAUAACAUCCGUAUUCGGAUUCGUAUUCGUUUUGAAAAUAUGAAAAUGGAAGUGGUAAGAGCACUAUCCGAUCCGCAUCCGAUCCGUUUCCACCCCUACCAGUAUACCAGGAUUCCAGGCGACAUUCAGAGGUUUCUGAUUGUCUGGUCGAAUGAUUUGGUUCAUGCUCCAGAAUUGUUUUGUGUUGUUAUUUAAUUGCAUGUGUUACUUCCGAUGAUUUGCUUGUUGCAUAUGUUGCAAUUUCUCCAAUUAGUUGUUGCAAAGGGUUAUUUUUCUGACGCAUACAGUAAUUUUUUAUACCACAUGCACGUGUUUAGAAUGAAAAAUGUUGUCUCACGACAAACAUGUUGCAUGGGGUUUUUAAUUUAAAUGGAUGGUUUUCAGAUUGUGAAUUGAGUCAACGGAAAGGCUAGGGAGCUGGCCGGUUGGGUAAAAAUUUGGCCAAGCAUUGGCUUAAGAUACGUGAUUGCAAAUUAACUUGCUCCGUGGCGGUUAUGUUCACACAAAAAAAACUUGCUCCGUGGCGGGCCAUGGUGAGUGUUGAAUGUCAACUAUGCGUGGAUCGUCAAAUUUGACCAGCUAGCUAUCUCGGGAGACACAAUGUCGGAAAUGGCAAGAAUUAUUGUCCUCAUGCAAAAGAACAUAUUGGACACUGCCUUAAAAUAUUGAACUUCACCUAUUACAGAACUCUAAACCUGACCUGUUUCAUUGGGAGGCAUGUUAUCUGAUAUUGUCUUAACACAACAUCUAGUAGUGGAGCAGUUUGCUUGAAAGAGGUUUUUUUCUUUAAUAUGUGCUAUAGCUAAGCAAGUACUACCUCCGUCUGGGUUUAUUAGUCCCCUUUGUAUUUUAUGUCCAAAUUUAACCAUAGAUUUGACUAACAAAAUAUAAGUUGUUUGUCACAAAAGUUAUAUGGUUGGAUCCAUAUUCGAAAGUCGCUUCAAUGAUACUAUCUUUGUGGUGUAUAACUUAUUUUUGAUAGUUAAAUCAAAGGUCAAAAAUUGACCCAAAAUACAAGGGGACUAAUAAAUCAGGACAGAGGUAGUAUGUAUCUACUGUUGGUUGCUUCCUCGUAAUUCGUGCAUGAGAUUAGGCAUAAAGAUUUGUUCUGUAAUUAAGAAAAGUAGAUAAUAGGAAUACAUCGGUUUUCCUAUUUCACACAAGUAAUCCCAUACCUAUGGAAAAAGAAUCGCGAAUUUGAUUAACAUGAUGACGUGAUUGGUUCAUCGUGAAAAUCUGAGAGGCCCGGUGUGGAGAAAAGGGAGGGUUGGGGGAAGAGUGCACGUAAAUUUGUAGAUCCAAGCCUCCAUUGGUUCACAAAAUUAAAAAAUGCAGGAAAGAAAAAAAACAAAAAAAAUUAUAAAAGUGUAUGUGUAAAACAGAGGAUUGAGAAACAUGGAAUUUCGCAAAAUUGGGUAUUUGGUUCAAAUGAAUAGGAAAAACACAUGAAUCCUAAUAAAUAGAGUCAAGUCAAAGUCAAACCACGUGGAAAGGUAUAAUUAACAUGUUUAUUACGCUAUUAAGAAUCUCAAUUUUGUUCUGAUGGCAUGUUGACCGGGGAUCAUCUCCAAAUCCGCUAGAUCCUGAUGUUGUCCUCUUCGUCCAGCGUGAUUGAAGAAGAAGAAGAGUGCCGCCACAAGUCGCCAUAUGCACACCACACUCCAAGACACCCGCAUACUCUGCACAAGCCGACGCUGUUGGGCCGAAGGACGCGGCCGGGAAUCGUGUCCCGCUCCGGCCAAACGGGUCCUUAGAGGCUUUGAAAAAUUCUCACGCCACGCCUAGAAUAUUUCCAAGAGUUGCUUUGAAAACAGAAGCGCGCGCGUUCAGAAGUCUGAAAUUAGGAGGAGGGAGGGAAGCGGUUUCUUGUUCUGGACAACGACGAGGAGGAACCAAAGUAGCAGCCGUCUAGUAUACGUGACGCGAUUAAUCACGCAGAUGCGACCGGCCGGCGCCCCCCUGAUUUGUAUAGUACCGAGUAAAUGAGUGCCAGCUUUGGAUUACGCGUCCAAACAAUCCUAAUUAAUCCGGCAGCACUCCACUGGCAGCAUAUGCCUCGCGGCACAUAGGAUUAUAUAAAGCGCAGGGCUCCGGCGGAAGAACACAUCUCACAAAGUUCAGAUCAGCGCGCAGUGUAGUGUUGCCAAGUAUUUCGUGGGUGGCAUCGAUCGAGGAAGAGAGACACCAUGAGCUACCCGCCGCCGGGCACCGCGUACCCUCCGCCGGGCCAGCAGCAGGCGUACCCGCCGCCGGGCAACGGUUACGGCUACCCUCCUUCGGGCCAGGAGCAGCCGCAGCAGCAGCAGCAGGCAUACCCGCCGCCGGCGUACGGCGCGCCGCCGCCCGUCGCCGCCGACUACUACCAGCCCAAGGACGGCGGCGCGUACCCGCCGCCGCAGCAGCAGGCGUACGGCGCGCCGCCGCCCGUCGCCGCCAACUACUACCCGCCGCCCCAGCAGCAGCAGGCCCCGCCGCCGCCGCCGCCGGAGGCGCAGAGCCGCGGCAGCGACGGCUUCUGGAAAGGAUGGUAAUUCACAGACCACUCGUCUAACACGACACGUACUUGCGUCGUGCAUCAUGCCUGCAUGCAUACCUAACUCCAUUACCCGUAUUAGUAACUGUCCGUCUGAUCCCUCUGCAUGUUUUGUUUGUUCUGAUCUGCGUGCAGCUGUGCCGCAAUCUGCUGCUGCUGCCUGCUCGACAUGUGCCUCUGAUCGAUGUUGCACAGGAUGAUGAUCCACAUGCAGCUGCUCGCCAUCGAUCGGAUCGUCGUUUCCUUGGCACAUCUUGGAUUUGGCUUAAUUCUGUAAUCACCAUGUCGCUCAGUUACCAUACCAAUCAGUCGAUUUGCUUUGUUGCUUCUUUCUUAGCGGAACCCCUCCCUGUAAUUUGUUGGCCAUGAAUUGGAUAUGUCAAGUUAUUUUCAGCAUCCAGUACAUUCUCCAGUUGAGUUUUUGCCAUUGCGAUCAGAGAUGAAACAAAAAAUUGCUGUUCCCCGGAUGUUCCAAAGCAACCUACGGCAAUGCCAAGGGUGCCAAAUGUCAGACACCUCUUUUGUUUGUCCAUAGGUAGAAACGGCAAAUAUAAU